CUCCCAUCUGUGCGGUGGAAGAUUGAGGCUGCUCUCUUGAUUCACAGUCCCUGUCUGACAGGAUUGCAUUCUAUGUGAGGGAGAGAAGAGCCUGCCUGCCUGUUGGACAAUAAGCAAAGCUACAGCCCGAUUUAGGCUUUUCCAAAGACGCUGAGGGUUCUGAAAACCGAUCUGAGAUGUUUUGGAUUAAAAUCUGCAUUUGGUCACA
Long non-coding RNA from Ornithorhynchus anatinus (platypus), 208 nucleotides. RefSeq lists it as uncharacterized. The transcript has 2 exons. Lineage: Eukaryota; Metazoa; Chordata; Mammalia; Monotremata; Ornithorhynchidae. The record is from RefSeq and is a predicted model, not a curated record.